Lotus japonicus is the source of this 1849-nucleotide long non-coding RNA. RefSeq lists it as uncharacterized. Lineage: Eukaryota; Viridiplantae; Streptophyta; Magnoliopsida; Fabales; Fabaceae. The transcript has 2 exons. The record is from RefSeq and is a predicted model, not a curated record.
AGAUACUCUGUCCACCGCCCACAGUUUGGAAGGCAUCUCCCCGGCGGGGGAAAUUGGAAACGACCCUCCUUUGAAGGUUAAUUGCCUCUUCGUCGACUGCGGAAGACAUGGAGAUCGAUUGAGAUAAUCGAGGUUCGAUUUGGUUUAAGGUAAUUUUGUUUCAAUUGCCUUGAUAAAAGUAAGAUGCUAUAAGAAUAAAAAUACUCAGAAAUAACAUUCUAACUCUCCUAAAAUAUUGAAGCUCGUUGGAGUUUUUAUUCUUGUUUUUCUUGUGAUUACAAUUAUUACAAUAUGUCAAAGCCAACAGCCUUUUAUAAUUAUACUUUUACUAAUAAUAAUUGAAUCACUCUAAAUAUUGGUCUCUGCAGUUGAGACCAAGAAAACACACCUGUUCCAAGAUGAAAACACACUUGUUGUUUCUUAGUUGUUACUUUGCCUCUUCAGUUUCACCUGCCCAAUCACUGUCUGUGUAUCUAAUCAACUCUGGCUUGGUAGAACUGGAGUGAAAAAUUCCUUCAUCAAUUGUUCCUUUGAUAUACCUCAAAAUUCUCUUUGCAACUUGCCAAUGUUAUUGUCUUGGUGAGUCCAUGAAUCUACUUAUGAGUCCAACUCCAUAAACUAUAUCAGGUCUUGUUGCUGUCAAAUACCUGAGUCUACCCACUAGAUCACCUCCACUUUCCCUUUCCAAUUUCAAUCUUUCUUCCAUUGGAGUUAACAUUGGUUUCAAUGAUUCCAUCUUAAAUUUCUUAAGAAUAUCAGCUACAUAUUUCUUCUGUGAAAUAAAAACCCCUCCACUGGUCUGCUUCACUUCAAUGCCUAGAAAAUACGACAUUAGGCCCAUAUCUGUCAUCUCAAACUGUGUGGACAUUGGCUCCUUUGAUCCGGAUGUUGAGAUGAACGGGUGUAGCUCUGUGUGUUUUGGGGUGAAGUCUGGUUUAGAGUCUUGUGAUUCUUGAGAUCUUUCUGAUGUCCCCGUGGAGGGUGAUGAAGAGUUUGGGCAUGUUGGGGAAGCUCUUGGAACUUGUGUUGCUUCUUUUGAUGAGGUGGGACUUGAGGAAACUUGUGGAUUUUCUUUGUUUGUGGAUCAUGACAUCCUCACUCGUCUUAAAGCUAUUCCAGCUCUAGGUGUGUCUUUUUCUCAUUUUCCUUUGCAGGGUCUUUGGAUGGAGCAGUUGAUUCCUGUCGGUGAUAAGAUUGCUGCCGAGACUAUGUCUUGCUCCAAUCAGACGGAUCUCCUUUUGACGGAUGGGAGCCUAGUUGUUGAGCCUAAGGUGGCACUUCACCCUACAGUUUUGGAUAACAUAGGGUUUUAGCUGAAGACAUCUGUUGGUGGGGUUGGUUAUCUGAGGCCUAGGGGAAGACCAAGAAAGUAUGAGAAGAGAGGUGGGGAGAAGAAGGAUCUUAUUGGGGUUGUCGGUGGUUCUUUGUUAGCUAAGGACUCGAGUUCGUUGGAAGGAAAUGGAAAUAAUCAGUUGAUGGUUUUACCAGCAGAGUUUUCAGAGCUUUUUGGUGUUAUGACUAGGGCAAGAAGUGCCCUUCUGAUGGAUAAAUAUCUAGGUAUGAGGUACGAUUGUAUAGAUGAGACUGCUUUGCUUCAAUUAGAGGCCCAUAUUCGUGCUCGCAGGACGCUGCCAUAGUGGUUGGUUUUCCCUUUUUAAUGUUGAUCCCGGUCCUUCCCGCAGAGGUUCUUUUUGGGCUGCCGUUUUUCGUUGUUUUACGUUGUUUGUUUUUAUGGUUGCUUAGCUGGUGGCGUUUGUUUUCACUUGGGGCCUUGAGUAUGUAGAAGUGUUUUUGGGGCAUUUGUGUUGUGCUUUUAUGUGGGUUUUUGAGGGGUCAGCUGUUCAUCUCG